GCCAGAGAGGCUUAGUGGUUUGAGUGGUGAACUAUGACUCUGGAGACCAGGAUUCAAUUCCCAGCUCAGGCA
This is a non-coding RNA of Phrynosoma platyrhinos (Desert horned lizard), 72 nucleotides long. NCBI's taxonomy places the organism in Eukaryota, Metazoa, Chordata, Lepidosauria, Squamata, Phrynosomatidae. The record is from the annotation of a GenBank genome assembly.